CUACGGGAGGCAGCAGUAGGGAAUCUUCGGCAAUGGGGGCAACCCUGACCGAGCAACGCCGCGUGAGUGAAGAAGGUUUUCGGAUCGUAAAGCUCUGUUGUAAGAGAAGAACGUGUGUGAGAGUGGAAAGUUCACACAGUGACGGUAACUUACCAGAAAGGGACGGCUAACUACGUGCCAGCAGCCGCGGUAAUACGUAGGUCCCGAGCGUUGUCCGGAUUUAUUGGGCGUAAAGCGAGCGCAGGCGGUUUAAUAAGUCUGAAGUUAAAGGCAGUGGCUUAACCAUUGUUCGCUUUGGAAACUGUUAGACUUGAGUGCAGAAGGGGAGAGUGGAAUUCCAUGUGUAGCGGUGAAAUGCGUAGAUAUAUGGAGGAACACCGGUGGCGAAAGCGGCUCUCU
RNAcentral lists this ribosomal RNA (399 nucleotides) under Streptococcus equinus. RNAcentral describes it as "bacterial SSU rRNA". It matches the Rfam family "Bacterial small subunit ribosomal RNA", at positions 339 to 730 of the family's 1533-position model. The record is from RNAcentral. Lineage: Bacteria; Bacillati; Bacillota; Bacilli; Lactobacillales; Streptococcaceae.